CCAAUAGCGUAUAUUAAAGUUGUUGCAGUUAAAAAGCUCGUAGUUGAAUUUCGGGGUUCAUACGUUGGUCGGGCUUUUUGGUCUGUACUAGCGUAAUGGAUUCCUACCUUCUGAAUAACCGGCAUGCCAUUAAUUUGGUGCGCCGGGGAAGCAGGACUGUUACCUUGAAAAAAUUAGAGUGCUUAAAGCAGGCUAUCGCCUGAAUACAUUAGCAUGGAAUAAUGAAAUAGGACGGCAUGGUUCUAUUUUGUUGGUUUCUAGGAUCACCGUAAUGAUUAAUAGUGAUAGUUGGGGGCAUUAGUAUUCAAUUGUCAGAGGUGAAAUUCUUGGAUUUAUUGAAGACUAACUUCUGCGAAAGCAUUUGCCAAGGAUGUUUUCAUUAAUCAAGAACGAAAGUUAGGGGAUCGAAGACGAUCAGAUACCGUCGUAGUCUUAACCAUAAACUAUGCCGACUAGGGAUCGGACGAUGUUAAUUUUUUAAUGACUCGUUCGGCGCCUUACG
RNAcentral lists this unclassified non-coding RNA (502 nucleotides) under uncultured Acaulospora. Its description in RNAcentral is "SSU rRNA". It matches the Rfam family "Eukaryotic small subunit ribosomal RNA", at positions 591 to 1092 of the family's 1831-position model. Lineage: Eukaryota; Fungi; Glomeromycota; Glomeromycetes; Diversisporales; Acaulosporaceae. The record is from RNAcentral.